GCGGAGGUGGCGAAAUUGGUAGACGCACUACUUUGAGGUGGUAGCGCCUUCAUCGGCGUGGGAGUUCGAAUCUCCUCUUCCGCA
RNAcentral lists this transfer RNA (84 nucleotides) under Bacteroidota bacterium. RNAcentral's name for it is "tRNA-Leu". It matches the Rfam family "tRNA". Rfam says of the family: Transfer RNA (tRNA) molecules are approximately 80 nucleotides in length. Their secondary structure includes four short double-helical elements and three loops (D, anti-codon, and T loops). Further hydrogen bonds mediate the characteristic L-shaped molecular structure. tRNAs have two regions of fundamental functional importance: the anti-codon, which is responsible for specific mRNA codon recognition, and the 3' end, to which the tRNAs corresponding amino acid is attached (by aminoacyl-tRNA synthetases). tRNAs cope with the degeneracy of the genetic code in two manners: having more than one tRNA (with a specific anti-codon) for a particular amino acid; and 'wobble' base-pairing, i.e. permitting non-standard base-pairing at the 3rd anti-codon position. RNAcentral also lists the same sequence under 1 other name. Lineage: Bacteria; Pseudomonadati; Bacteroidota. The record is from RNAcentral.